GUAGGUGAACCUGCGGAAGGAUCAUUACCAUAAACAAGGAGGGAUAGUGUGGCACUGUACAUCUCGUGCUUUGCCUCCCUUCCCUACCUCAACCCCUGAUUUUUGCGUACCUAUUGUUUCCUUGGUGGGCUUGCCUGCCAAUAGGACUAUAACAAACCCUUUGUAAUUGCAGUCAGCGUCAGUAAAAUAUAAAAGUUUACAACUUUCAACAACGGAUCUCUUGGUUCUGGCAUCGAUGAAGAACGCAGCA
This 250-nucleotide unclassified non-coding RNA is filed under the name plant metagenome. RNAcentral describes it as "partial contains small subunit ribosomal RNA, internal transcribed spacer 1, and 5.8S ribosomal RNA". The stretch from base 201 to 250 matches the Rfam family "5.8S ribosomal RNA", at positions 1 to 50 of the family's 154-position model. The record is from RNAcentral.